This 693-nucleotide ribosomal RNA is filed under the name Geitlerinema sp. EBD-F. RNAcentral describes it as "bacterial SSU rRNA". It matches the Rfam family "Bacterial small subunit ribosomal RNA", at positions 655 to 1348 of the family's 1533-position model. The record is from RNAcentral. Lineage: Bacteria; Bacillati; Cyanobacteriota; Cyanophyceae; Geitlerinematales; Geitlerinemataceae.
GGGCAAAGGGAAUUCCCAGUGUAGCGGUGAAAUGCGUAGAUAUUGGGAAGAACACCGGUGGCGAAAGCGCUUUGCUGGACCGAACCUGACGCUGAGGGACGAAAGCUAGGGGAGCGAAUGGGAUUAGAUACCCCAGUAGUCCUAGCCGUAAACGAUGGAGACUAGGUGUUGCCUGUAUCGACCCGGGCAGUGCCGAAGCCAACGCGUUAAGUCUCCCGCCUGGGGAGUACGCACGCAAGUGUGAAACUCAAAGGAAUUGACGGGGGCCCGCACAAGCGGUGGAGUAUGUGGUUUAAUUCGAUGCAACGCGAAGAACCUUACCAGGGCUUGACAUCCCGCGAACCCUCGCGAAAGUGAGGGGUGCCUACGGGAACGCGGAGACAGGUGGUGCAUGGCUGUCGUCAGCUCGUGUCGUGAGAUGUUGGGUUAAGUCCCGCAACGAGCGCAACCCUCGUCCUUAGUUGCCAGMCUUAAGUGGGGCACUCUAGGGAGACUGCCGGUGAUAAACCGGAGGAAGGUGGGGAUGACGUCAAGUCAUCAUGCCCCAUAUGUCCUGGGCUACACACGUACUACAAUGGUCGGGACAACGAGCAGCCAACUCGCGAGAGUGAGCUAAUCUCUUAAACCCGGCCUCAGUUCAGAUUGCAGGCUGCAACUCGCCUGCAUGAAGGAGGAAUCGCUAGUAAUCGCAGG